GCGGCAGUAGCCUUAAUAUGGCAGAGGCACUGAUCUUUGAUCAGAAGUCCCGGUUCGAUUCCGGGCUGUCGAG
RNAcentral lists this transfer RNA (73 nucleotides) under Cereibacter ovatus. RNAcentral's name for it is "Rhodobacter ovatus tRNA_Pseudo_Pseudo". It matches the Rfam family "tRNA". Rfam says of the family: Transfer RNA (tRNA) molecules are approximately 80 nucleotides in length. Their secondary structure includes four short double-helical elements and three loops (D, anti-codon, and T loops). Lineage: Bacteria; Pseudomonadati; Pseudomonadota; Alphaproteobacteria; Rhodobacterales; Paracoccaceae. The record is from RNAcentral.